UGUUGUAGAUUGACUGAUUUACUUUUGUUCUCCACUACGAAGCUAAAUACCCUGUACAUCCCUUUUUAAGUAAUCGUUGAGCUUUAAUACAAGAUAUGAGACAUGGAUGUUGGGGGAUCCCUUAUCCCUUUGAAUUUGAAGGCCUUGUCAUUGGGAAUAUUAAAAGUCACCAUCUUUCCAUGACAAUCUAUAUUGGCAUGGUAUGCAACCAACUAGUCCAUUCCUAAUAUAACGUUAAAAUCAUGCAUAUCUAAGAGUCUGAGAUCUACUAGUAACUCUUUAUUGGCAAUCUCCACAAUACAUAGUCGACAUAUUGUACUAGUAAUCAUGUCCUUAUUGGCUAAGGUAGAGACUACUAAUACAUAAUCUAACAGUGAUUGUUCAAUGUUUAGAUGUUGAGAAAACUCAAGUGAUGCAAA
RNAcentral lists this long non-coding RNA (419 nucleotides) under Carica papaya (papaya). RNAcentral's name for it is "long non-coding RNA (CPAP_LNC002324)". The record is from RNAcentral. Lineage: Eukaryota; Viridiplantae; Streptophyta; Magnoliopsida; Brassicales; Caricaceae.